GGUCAAUGGACCAGCACCGUAACUCUCUCUUCCUCCCUCUGCUUCAUUCCUUACCCCUAUCUGUUCUUCACGUUGCACAUGGCAGCAGCCCCCGCUGCUCAAAUCCACCUCCCCGGAUGGCAAAUCUCACCUCUAAUUAUCUCCAUACUAUUCUCUCCAAUACAAUGGUGCUACCCCUGCCAUUUCCCCUCCAUUCUGACCUUUUAAUACCCUCUAAUUUCAGAUCCCAGUUCUGCUCUCUUUCCCCCUUUCACUGCGUUCAAACUAGAUGCCGUAAAUCGGCAACCAUGGUCGGGCGGCGGCGUGCACCACCGAGGUGCUGAACUCGACAACCAUGGCGCCCAGGUAGGGUCAAGAAGCCUAUGUGUGCUGCUGUGUGUGGGGAUUUGGGCUCUACCAACAACUCCUCUGAUCUAACCCUAAAGGUCUGCAAUCAGCAAACAAGAUCUCAGGGGGUUGCUAGUUCUUCUCAAAGAUUUUCUCAAGGUGCUGCAGAAUCAUCUUAGAGACGCUAGGCAGUGCUAGAUUGUUGGCAAGAAGGGUGCUGGGAGUAAACUUGAAUGCUUUUGGACUAGAUGCUAUCUUAUGGUGUACUAGAUACUAUCUUUGAAUACUUUUGGACUACAAUCUGGAAGUUUUAGUUUGUGGACUCGAUGGUCAUAAUGUUGGAUCACUUUUGGAUUACUUAGCUAGAUUAUGUAUUCAGCUACUAUAUGCAUGUUUGUAUGUUGGUUUGAUGGCAAGAAGCUUAAUAAGCUAGUCACAUGAUUAUAUAUGUACUCAUUUGAUAUGGAUGACUGAGUGUAUGAUUAAUGUGUCUAUUUGUGUAUGUCAUUUAGUAUAA
Molecule: long non-coding RNA, 844 nt
Organism: Sorghum bicolor (sorghum)
Lineage: Eukaryota; Viridiplantae; Streptophyta; Magnoliopsida; Poales; Poaceae
Exons: 3
Source: RefSeq, a predicted model, not a curated record